Molecule: unclassified non-coding RNA, 329 nt
Filed under: soil metagenome
Description: partial contains 5.8S ribosomal RNA, internal transcribed spacer 2, and large subunit ribosomal RNA
Rfam family: 5.8S ribosomal RNA (bases 1-120)
Source: RNAcentral
GAUGAAGAACGUAGCGAAAUGCGAUAAGUAGUGUGAAUUGCAGAAUUCAGUGAAUCACCGAAUCUUUGAACGCACAUUGCGCCCCUUGGUAUCCCGAGGGGCAUGCCUGUUCGAGCGUCAUUUCACCACUCAAGCCUGGCUUGGUGUUGGGCGACGUCCCCUUUGGGGACGCGCCUCGAAACGCUCGGCGGCGUGGCACCGGCUUUAAGCGUAGCAGAAUCUUUCGCUUUGGAAGUCGGGGCCCCGUCUGCCGGAAGACCUACUCGCAAGGUUGACCUCGGAUCAGGCAGGGAUACCCGCUGAACUUAAGCAUAUCAAUAAGCGGAGGA